UGGGGAAUAUUGGACAAUGGGCGAAAGCCUGAUCCAGCCAUGCCGCGUGUGUGAAGAAGGUCUUCGGAUUGUAACGCACUUUAAGUUGGGAGGAAGGGCAGUAAGCGAAUACCUUGCUGUUUUGACGUUACCGACAGAAUAAGCACCGGCUAACUCUGUGCCAGCAGCCGCGGUAAUACAGAAGGUGCAAGCGUUAAUCGGAAUUACUGGGCGUAAAGCGCGCGUAGGUGGUUCGUUAAGUUGAAUGUGAAAGCCCCGGGCUCAACCUGGGAACUGCAUCCAAAACUGGAGAGUUAGAGUAGGGCAGAGGGUGGUGGAAUUUACUGGGUAGCGGUGAAAUGCGUAGAUAUAGGAAGGAACACCAGUGGCGAAGGCGACCACCUGGGCUCAUACUGACACUGAGGUGCGAAAGCGUGGGGAGCAAACAGG
RNAcentral lists this ribosomal RNA (429 nucleotides) under Pseudomonadota bacterium. Its description in RNAcentral is "Proteobacteria bacterium partial 16S ribosomal RNA". It matches the Rfam family "Bacterial small subunit ribosomal RNA", at positions 355 to 776 of the family's 1533-position model. The record is from RNAcentral. Lineage: Bacteria; Pseudomonadati; Pseudomonadota.